AGACCUGUGGCUCAACGGUUAGAGCGUUUGACUUCUGAUCAAUAGGUCAAGGGGUUCAAGCCUC
This 64-nucleotide transfer RNA is filed under the name Schistocephalus solidus. It matches the Rfam family "tRNA", at positions 1 to 62 of the family's 71-position model. Rfam says of the family: Transfer RNA (tRNA) molecules are approximately 80 nucleotides in length. Lineage: Eukaryota; Metazoa; Platyhelminthes; Cestoda; Diphyllobothriidea; Diphyllobothriidae. The record is from Rfam by way of RNAcentral.